AUUGAACGCUGGCGGCAUGCUUUACACAUGCAAGUCGAACGGUAACAGGCCGCAAGGUGCUGACGAGUGGCGAACGGGUGAGUAAUGCAUCGGAACGUGCCCAGUCGUGGGGGAUAACGCAGCGAAAGCUGUGCUAAUACCGCAUACGAUCUAUGGAUGAAAGCGGGGGACCGUAAGGCCUCGCGCGAUUGGAGCGGCCGAUGUCAGAUUAGGUAGUUGGUGGGGUAAAGGCUCACCAAGCCAACGAUCUGCAGCUGGUCUGAGAGGACGACCAGCCACACUGGGACUGGGACACGGCCCAGACUCCUACGGGAGGCAGCAGUGGGGAAUUUUGGACAAUGGGCGCAAGCCUGAUCCAGCAAUGCCGCGUGCAGGAAGAAGGCCUUCGGGUUGUAAACUGCUUUUGUACGGAACGAAAAGGUUUGGGUUAAUACCCUGGGCCGAUGACGGUACCGUAAGAAUAAGCACCGGCUAACUACGUGCCAGCAGCCGCCGUAA
RNAcentral lists this ribosomal RNA (498 nucleotides) under uncultured bacterium. RNAcentral's name for it is "partial 16S ribosomal RNA". It matches the Rfam family "Bacterial small subunit ribosomal RNA", at positions 30 to 523 of the family's 1533-position model. The record is from RNAcentral.